GGAGGGGUGGCUGAGUGGAUGAAGGCACCAGUCUUGAAAACUGGCAUGGGGUUUACGCUCCAUCGAGGGUUCGAAUCCCUCCCCCUCCG
RNAcentral lists this transfer RNA (89 nucleotides) under Candidatus Colwellbacteria bacterium CG10_big_fil_rev_8_21_14_0_10_42_22. Its description in RNAcentral is "tRNA-Ser". It matches the Rfam family "tRNA". Rfam says of the family: Transfer RNA (tRNA) molecules are approximately 80 nucleotides in length. Their secondary structure includes four short double-helical elements and three loops (D, anti-codon, and T loops). The record is from RNAcentral. Lineage: Bacteria; Candidatus Colwelliibacteriota.